RNAcentral lists this ribosomal RNA (377 nucleotides) under uncultured bacterium. RNAcentral describes it as "bacterial SSU rRNA". It matches the Rfam family "Bacterial small subunit ribosomal RNA", at positions 362 to 757 of the family's 1533-position model. The record is from RNAcentral.
UAUUGGACAAUGGGCGCAAGCCUGAUCCAGCCAUGCCGCGUGAGUGAUGAAGGCCUUAGGGUUGUAAAGCUCUUUCAGUGGGGAAGAUAAUGACGGUACCCACAGAAGAAGCCCCGGCUAACUUCGUGCCAGCAGCCGCGGUAAUACGAAGGGGGCUAGCGUUGUUCGGAUUUACUGGGCGUAAAGCGCACGUAGGCGGAUUGUUAAGUCGGGGGUGAAAUCCUGGAGCUCAACUCCAGAACUGCCUUCGAUACUGGCAAUCUCGAGUCCGGAAGAGGUGAGUGGAACUCCUAGUGUAGAGGUGGAAUUCGUAGAUAUUAGGAAGAACACCAGUGGCGAAGGCGGCUCACUGGUCCGGUACUGACGCUGAGUGCGAA